This 253-nucleotide ribosomal RNA is filed under the name uncultured bacterium. Its description in RNAcentral is "partial 16S ribosomal RNA". It matches the Rfam family "Bacterial small subunit ribosomal RNA", at positions 524 to 776 of the family's 1533-position model. The record is from RNAcentral.
UACGUAGGUGGCAAGCGUUGUCCGGAUUUACUGGGCGUAAAGAGCGCGCAGGCGGUCGUGCAAGUCGCGUGUGAAAGCCCCCGGCUCAACUGGGGAGGGUCACGCGAUACUGAUCGACUCGAAGGCAGGAGAGGGUAGUGGAAUUCCCGGUGUAGUGGUGAAAUGCGUAGAUAUCGGGAGGAACACCAGUGGCGCAGGCGGCGCUCUGGACCGACCCUGACGCUGAGACGCGAAAGCGUGGGUAGCAAACAGG